This 482-nucleotide ribosomal RNA is filed under the name uncultured bacterium. Its description in RNAcentral is "partial 16S ribosomal RNA". It matches the Rfam family "Bacterial small subunit ribosomal RNA", at positions 30 to 507 of the family's 1533-position model. The record is from RNAcentral.
AUUGAACGCUGGCGGCAUGCCUUACACAUGCAAGUCGAACGGUAACAGGUCUUCGGAUGCUGACGAGUGGCGAACGGGUGAGUAAUACAUCGAAACGUGCCCGAUCGUGGGGGAUAACGGAGCGAAAGCUUUGCUAAUACCGCAUACGAUCUACGGAUGAAAGCAGGGGACCGCAAGGCCUUGCGCGGACGGAGCGGCCGAUGGCAGAUUAGGUAGUUGGUGGGAUAAAAGCUUACCAAGCCGACGAUCUGUAGCUGGUCUGAGAGGACGACCAGCCACACUGGGACUGAGACACGGCCCAGACUCCUACGGGAGGCAGCAGUGGGGAAUUUUGGACAAUGGGCGAAAGCCUGAUCCAGCCAUGCCGCGUGCAGGAUGAAGGCCUUCGGGUUGUAAACUGCUUUUGUACGGAACGAAAAGACUCUUUCUAAUAAAGAGGGUCCAUGACGGUACCGUAAGAAUAAGCACCGGCUAACUACGUG